Long non-coding RNA from Columba livia (rock pigeon), 6231 nucleotides. RefSeq lists it as uncharacterized. The record is from RefSeq and is a predicted model, not a curated record. The transcript has 5 exons. Lineage: Eukaryota; Metazoa; Chordata; Aves; Columbiformes; Columbidae.
CGAAGGAGAGGGCGGUGAAGAUGAGGUGCAGCAGCUCCGGGGGGGUUGGUUCACUCACGUGCUGGUAGGUCCUGCCCUGCGUGGGGAGGGGAAAAGGGGUCCUCAUGCAGCCCCCACUGUCCCCACAGAGCCCCCCCAUCCCCACACAGCCCCCAGUCUGGCAGGGACAUGCCAGGUAUGUCCCCAAGCCAUUGGGGUCACCUCCAACCCAAGGGGACUCACCAUGAGGUUGAGGGUGUAUUUCACCUUCUGGAAAAAGUCCACGUAGUCGCCCUGGGGGGGCAGAGCUGGAGGGGCAGAGAUGGGGGGGGCUGGCACCGGGAUGACCCCCCAGCCCCCAACCAAUGGCACAUUUCCCCCCCUCACCACCUUUCUUCUUCUUCUUCUUCUUCACAUUGGUGUUGGCCAAGCCCAGCGCUGCCUUCAGGCGGCUGACGAAGAGGUCCAGCUCAUCCAGCACGUGGUUGAGGAUCUCCUGGAUGGAGAUGGCCAGGAUGGGACCCGCACCUUCUCCAGGCUGCUCCUCAGCAUCUCUGCCUGCACAGAACCACCACCAUCAACCCCCCAAACCCCGGGGUGCUGCCCCCCGCCCACCCCAGGACUCACCCCCGGCUGCUCGCACUGGAAGAGCAGGACGCUGCUGCCGGGGGGGCUGCGCUCCUGCACGCUGAUGGUCAACACCGAGUCGUAGCUGCAGGUGUCCAGCGCGGCCGAGCAGCCCUGGACGCUGCCCAGCGGACUUUGCCCUGGGCGUCCAGCAGCUUGAGCCGUGCCAGACAGUCCUCGGCGCUGCGCAGGUCCCGCUCCAGCCGCAAUGUCAGCAGGUGCUGGGGGGACACGGUGCCGGUGUCACCGGGUCACCCGCUGCCAUGCUUGGCAAACUAGGACCGCUCUGGUUUUUGGGCCAAACUGUCCCCACUGCAGAGGGACCAUCCUGCACCCCAGCGUGUCACCCAGCGCAGGCGAUGACACCCCUUCUGGGGUGUUUGGGGACCGUGGGUGCACAAGUACGAGCAGAACCGAGGGGACAAGGUGGGGGGAGCUGGGAACCGACCCCAGGGAGCGGGGAGGGGGUGUCGGGGCUGGGGUCGUGCCUCAGUUUCCCCAUUUCAGGGAGGGGCCGGGUGCAGUCCCCCCGCGGCCACCGGGGGGCAGCACGUCCGCACGUCGCCCUUGUCCCCAGAUGGGUGACACGCCCCCAGAUGUGAAGCCUCUCAUAUAAAGGGCCCCAGAUGUACCCCAGGUGCCACCCCAGGUCCUGCUGGCACCGCCGACCACACCAGGGUCCCUGGCACUGGGGACAUUUGGGUGACACUUCUUGGGGUGGGGGGACACAAGCGCUGUCGGGCGGGAGGAAUCCGGCUCUUUGUGGCACCCGUGGGUGGGGGGUGGGUUUGACCCCCAUCCCCCGGCAGCACCCAGGGCACGGGCAGGACCGUCCCAUCCAUGUCGCACCCUCCACGGGGACAGGGCGCUCGCCCCACCCCUCCCAGCUCCUCCCAGUCACCCCACUGGGUAAACUGGGAAUGGCGCCAGCUGCAGAAAUAUAAAAUCAUCUUAUUUUUAUCUUUUUUCCUCUCCAUUCCUGGCCAGAGGUGACACCUCCCUGCGCAGCCCCACAGCUGCUGUGUCCCUCCUCGCCCUUCCCAGGCUCGGGAAGUCCCCAGGGGCCACCAACUCCCUUGGGAAGAGCCCAGGGUGACGCCAAAGCCUUUUGCUGUUUCGGGUUUAGAAACCCCCAGUGUCAAAAUCAGUGAAUUUGCCCCAAAACGCAGCAAUUCUGGGGAGAAAAAUGGCCCCAUCCUGCACUCCCUGUAAAGCUGCUGCAAGGGACCCUGACCCACCAAGGAGACAGCCUUGGGGACACAGCUGGAUGCCCCAUGGGGACAGGAUCAGCCCCCACCUCCAGGGACAACCCGGGGCUGGUGCAGAUUUGGGGGUGCCCAGGCGGGGCGGGGGACUUUGGGGCCACCAAUUCCUGGAAUUCCCGGUGACACAUCACUCCCGGCCAGGUGCCACCGGGGCCGCGGUGGCAGCUGUGGCUCUGGGCGCCGGCCAGCGGCACAAACCGCCGGCCAGCCGGGAUCCGUCCCCACGUCACCGAGGCCGAGCGCGGGGCGGACCGCGGUGUACCCGGACCUGCCGCCUAAUUGCUGGGGACCAGCAGCUCCCCGUCAUUCUGGGGACAUGUGGGGACGGUUUAACCCCUCGGGAGCUGGGAAGUUGUGUCGGGUUGUUCUCCCCCAGGCUGGAGGAACAGGACAGCGUGUCACAGCCCCCAGGGUUGGGAUGUCCCUUUGGUGAUGCCCAAACCCACAAGUCCUCCGUGGGGUCUCUUUGGUGGUGACGGUGACAAGCUGAUGUCCCAACCAUCACGGCGACUAGGCUUGGGUGCUGAUUUGGGGUGACAUUGGGGAGUUGGUGCAGCCCUGGGAGCCAUUGCAAGGUCCCUGUCACCAUGUGGGGUCCCUGUCACCCUGUGGGUCCCUUUGCCAUGGGGACUCUCUGGGGGCUGCGUUUCCCGCUCUACCACCCCCGGAGGUCCCAUCUCGGUGUCCCCACCAAACCUUUCACUCCCUUGGGAAUGCUCUUGGCAUCACCCAAAGUCCCCUGGGGGUGCCAGCCCCGAACCCCGUGCCCCAUGGGGCGUCCUGGUCCCCCUUGCUGCGGGUUUUCCCGGUUUUGCCGCUGGGUCCCAUCUCUUCGGAGGAACAGGGUGAAAUCUCUGGGGCUUUUCUAGCCUGUCAGAUUUGCAAAACUCCCCCCGGUGACACCCCUGAGGGUUUGCAGAAGCAGCACCCCAGAAACAAGCCGCCUCCUCCGCUUUUCAACCUGCUGCUGAUCAGUUCUUUUCCCUCUCUCAUUUCCAGAGGGUGAUAUUUUACAUCCCGAGAAGCAGCCGGUCCCACGGCUUGGGCCACACACAUGGGAAAAGCAUCUUGCUUUUGGGGUGAAGAGGGAAAAGCGGUGUCCCCAUGGCCAACCCUGUUUGUGUGGGACCUGUCCUGCUUUGCUCCCCACCGUCUCCCAUCCCAGUACCACAUCCCAGCCACAUCCCGGGGAAUUCCAGAGGUGGUGAGGACCGAAAGGGUUUAAUUAGAGGUGAUGAGGCCAUGCAAAUGAGCAGGUGACAGCUGCUGUGAAAUCCUGGAGGCUUCAGAGGUGCCGGUCGGUGUUUCCCACGCUGUGGUUGCUGGGUGGGAGCAGAUGGAGAUGGUUGGGAACCCAAACCCAUUCCCAUGGACCGAUGCCGUGAGAUUUGCCUUUACACAUCAAGUCUGGGGCCACCAUGAGGAAGAUGAUGAUGAGGAGCAUGAUGAUGAUGAGGAUGGAGUCAAGCGGCACAACCGAUAGUGUUUCCAGGGAAAAGACCUUUCCAGCCUCAUCUUUCCAGGGUGGGCGGUGAACAAGGUGGCACACGGGUGACAGCAGCACAUGAUGCUGAGCUGGUCGGGGGGUGUGAUGAGCCGUUCCCUUCCCAAGUUGCUGAGUCAAGGCUCCCAGAGACCUCGUGGGCGGUGGGAUUGAUUUGGGAGCCACCAACGAGGUCCCUGGCUGGGGACAGGCGAGGAGCGUGCCACCGAGCACGGGUUCGUGUGCCGCGCUUGAUGGAGAAGCUCCGGAGGAAAUUGUGAAAGGGCAAGCAGGCACUGGCUGCAUGGGGCAGGGGGAGAUGAAGCAUGAGCUGCAGGGGGAAACCAUGGCAGGAGGUUCUUUGGGCAUUAGGUGGGGUGGGCUCUUCAUCACAUAUCAUCAGUUGUGGUGGGUUCCUCCUCAAAUGUCAUUGGUUGUGGGGGGUUCCUCUUCACAUAUCAUCAGUUGAGGUGGGUUCCUCCUCACAUGUCAUCAGUUGAGGUGGGUUCCUCCUCACAUGUCAUCAGUUGAGGUGGGUUCCUCCUCACAUGUCAUCAGUUGAGGUGGGUUCCUCCUCACAUGUCAUCAGAUGAGGUGGGUUCCUCUUCCCACAUCAUCAGUUGAGGUGGGUUCCUCCUCACAUGUCAUCAGAUGAGGUGGGUUCCUCUUCCCACAUCAUCAGUUGAGGUGGGUUCCUCCUCACAUGUCAUCAGUUGAGGUGGGUUCCUCCUCACAUGUCAUCAGAUGAGGUGGGUUCCUCUUCCCACAUCAUCAGUUGAUGUGGGUUCCUCCUCACAUGUCAUCGGUUGCGGGGGGUUCCUCCUCCCAUGUCAUCGGUUGAGGUGGGUUGCUCCUUGUGUGUCAUCAGAUGUGUCCUCAACAUGGUGCCUCGGGGGUGGGAGCUGUAUAAAAUGUGGUUGCAAAAUAGCUGGGAAGAGGGAAUUGAGGCAGGAUUAGGAGCACUACAAGGUGUUUUAAACCGAAUCCCAACUCCUACCAUCAGGUGGCAUCUGCCACACUUGCCCAUGGUCCCAGAUGCCAUGGGAGAUAUGAGACAAGCGUCUGGGUGCCCCAAGUCCCUCAGCACCACUUCCAGACCAACACAGUCAGGGCUUACUGGGGCAGGAACGGCUCCUUUUUCCCUGAAAUGUGUCUGUUUCCUGCCAGAAAAUGUCAUUCCAUCGAUGAAUAAUUGGGAUGGGAAAUGUUCGACCUUCCCUGUUGUUUGGCUCCCAUGGGAAGCUGCCGGGGAGGAGGAACUCUUGGCUCACCCAUCCCAUUCAGCCCAGUACAGCUUCUGCCGGAUACUGGGAGGGACGUGUGCCUGGAUGCCAUGAGUGUCCAAGACCAUUUACCUGCCAGCAAUGGGUUGAUCAUGUCCUAAAAUUGCUCUAACUAAGCUUUUGGAGAAGAAUUUCCAAAUCUCAGAAGGCCUGGACACUCUUCCUUUGUUUUGGCAUGUCUCUGGUCUCUUCCCAUCCAGAAACCUCAGGCGGCAUCUUCAAUGUGAACUCAACCAAAACUUGAAGGUGUUUGAUGGCUGUGUCACUGGUGGAAGAGGCAAAGCAGCAUCUUGUUGCUCCGGGCAGGACCCAAUACACCCGGCCCCGGCAUGCAGGCGGCUGCAUCUCCAGACCUCCAAAAGGAAGAUCUGCAGGUCCCGGGGCACACCCCGCGGGACACCCAAGGGUGACCCCGCACCAGGAGGAAGUGGCUCGGGAAGGGGCGUUUAAGCUGGACCAGAGGGGUUAAGCUCGGCUCUUGGGAAGAGCCGGCUCCGGUCCAGCCUGAGUAAGCCCAUCGUUCCGGCCAAAACCCGUUGCGGGGUGGAUUUUUUUGGGGCUGUAAACAGCAUUUCUCGACGGUGCCGCACGACCCGUGGGGCCGGCGGCGCUCGAACCAGGAGACGUUUUGAUAAUGUUCGUUAAUUAAAGAGCUGGCAAGAGGCGCUGGGAUGGGAACCGCAGAGGAGGUGGUUUUACUGGGGGGGUCUGCAGCUGCCCCAUCCCUGCUGCCGCUUUGGGGUCAGAUUUGGCAACCCCGCGGGUGGGCCGGAGGGGUUUGCGGUGUCUGGCCAAACCAUCCCUGCUAUUCCCAAACGCCCGCCUGGACCACCCCAAAUUUUGGGGGCACGGCAAGCAGCCGGUUGUAUCACACUGGGGGGGGAUGCUGGUGUCACCGCCGGUCCCCUGGGCACGGCGAGGCGCGGUGGAGGUGGCCGGAGGGGUUAAAUCUCCUCCUUCUCUCCAGCCUGAGUAACCCCAGCACGCUGCCAAAAUCCUGCUCGGUGCUGGGAGCCGGCGCAGGGGCUUUUUCUGCCUUAGGAGUGAUGCCGGACGCCUGGCACAGCGCCUGCGGGGGUGCGGAGCGGGGAACGCAUCCCAGCACAACCUGACCUUGGUUUGGUGACGCCAGCACCCCAAAACCCCGCAGGGUCCGUCCCCGGGACAGCACCCGGGGCGCCUGGGCUGGCUCCAGCCUCCGCGGCUCCGGCACAAGCUGCACCGUAAUUAUUUACAAGAGGCGGUGGGUGGGAGUUUCGCCUUUGCUUCCCUUUAUUUUUAAACUUAUUUUUGCUUUAUUUUGGAUUUCUGACUCAUUUCAAAGCCUGUUGCCGGGAGGAAACCGGAAUUAAAAAGUGCCCCGCAUCGUUUAUAUCAGCUCAAUAAAAUCCUCCCCCGAAAGCUCAGGGUGGAAAGUCGAGCAGCGGCUCCCCGGGGCUGCCCCGGACCCGGAGCCACUUCUCCUUCCCCCGGUCUCAUUCACACGGAGGAGGAAAACUCCAAUUUUGCUCUUUUUUUCCAAACCACAGCUGUUUUCCGGCUCUGCAGGCGCUAAGCCAGGCCUGGGGCUGCUCAGACCAUGGGGGGCAAGGGG